Molecule: transfer RNA, 75 nt
Filed under: Candidatus Woesearchaeota archaeon
Lineage: Archaea; Nanobdellati; Candidatus Woesearchaeota
Description: tRNA-Arg
Rfam family: tRNA
About the family: Transfer RNA (tRNA) molecules are approximately 80 nucleotides in length. Their secondary structure includes four short double-helical elements and three loops (D, anti-codon, and T loops). Further hydrogen bonds mediate the characteristic L-shaped molecular structure. tRNAs have two regions of fundamental functional importance: the anti-codon, which is responsible for specific mRNA codon recognition, and the 3' end, to which the tRNAs corresponding amino acid is attached (by aminoacyl-tRNA synthetases). tRNAs cope with the degeneracy of the genetic code in two manners: having more than one tRNA (with a specific anti-codon) for a particular amino acid; and 'wobble' base-pairing, i.e. permitting non-standard base-pairing at the 3rd anti-codon position.
Source: RNAcentral
GCGCCUGUAGCUCAGCUUGGAUAGAGCGACUGCCUCCUAAGCAGUAGGCCGAGGGUUCGAAUCCCUUCAGGCGCG